AGAAAAUAGCAGUUUCCAAAACGAAAAAUCAAAACCUUUGUCCUCUAUUCUUUGUUUUCAAAAAACCUCCCCCUCUCCAAACUCAAACCGGGGUCCGUUGUCUUCUCCUCUCCUUUGCCCUGAGCACGAAAUCCAGGACUCCACCACUCAGGUAAAGAUCUUCCCCCUUUUUCAAGCUUUCUUUAGCCAAAUGAUGAGCAAGAGAGUUUGCCGAUCUUGAAAUGUGCCUGAAAAUAAUCUGUUGAAAGUUCUCUUUAUAUUGUUGAACGUUUUUAGUAAUGGCUCCUAUCUCUAAUUUAUCCUCACUAUCUAAUUUGGAUUUCUUUAUUGUUGUAAAUGAGUCCCCUUCGAUUAUCACACACUCAAUCCCCAUGCGAAUGCCUAAUCACAACACUUGAAUGCACGCUUGCGCUUCAGCAGCGAACGAAGAAGAGAUUGCUUUAUGACCCAUGGCCAUGGAAGCUAAGAUUUCCCCCAGUGGGUUCCAUACCACCACCUCCGAUCCAGAUCUUGCAUGCGAAGGUCAUAAGCCCCAUCAAAGUUAAUCUUAAAGAAAGGUUCAUGAGGGAGUUCCCACUUAUCAUAAUUUCUCGUUCUGACACAGUUCUCCUUUCAUGUACGAGACGAUUUUGACUUGUCUAGAGUUUCCAAAGCCCUUGACAUAAUAUUCUACAUUGCUCACUGGUAGCAAUCCGAAACACACAGUCACGAAACACGUGGAUAGAAUCCUCCGUUGAAUUGCAGCAUCAUGGGCACAGAGUAUUCACUGCAAUCCUUCUGUAAUUUAGAUUGACUAGAGUAGGCAUAAAAUUCCAUGAAAAUCUCCAAAUUACAGUUUUAAUUUUCGGAGGUAUUUGUAAAUUCCAUAGCUUUUUGUAGAAAUGUCUAGAAUCAGUAUGUGAUAUAUUAUCAGUAGGAAGUAGGGAACAAUUUUUUAAUAGUUUAUAGAUGCUUCUCACAGCAAAAUCACCAGUCAUUUCGCCGCACCAAACUUGUAGAUCUUCAGAAAUUGUCCUCCCCAAUGGAAUUUGCAUAAUAGUAUUUGCGGCAUCUA
RNA transcript from Gossypium raimondii (Peruvian cotton), 1054 nucleotides. RefSeq lists it as uncharacterized. The record is from RefSeq and is a predicted model, not a curated record. NCBI's taxonomy places the organism in Eukaryota, Viridiplantae, Streptophyta, Magnoliopsida, Malvales, Malvaceae. The transcript is spliced from 3 exons.